Molecule: ribosomal RNA, 460 nt
Filed under: uncultured bacterium
Lineage: Bacteria
Description: partial 16S ribosomal RNA
Rfam family: Bacterial small subunit ribosomal RNA
Source: RNAcentral
CCUACGGGAGGCAGCAGUGAGGAAUAUUGGUCAAUGGGCGCGAGCCUGAACCAGCCAAGUAGCGUGAAGGAUGACUGCCCUACGGGUUGUACACUUCUUUUAUACAGGAAUAAAGUGAGACACGCGUGCCUUUUUGUAUGUACUUUAUGAAUAAGGAUCGGCUAACUCCGUGCCAGCAGCCUCGGUAAUACGGAGGAUCCGAGCGUUAUCCGGAUUUAUUGGGUUUAAAGGGAGCGUAGAUGGUUGGUUAAGUCAGUUGUGAAAGUUUGCGGCUCAACCUUAAAAUUGCAUUUGAUACUGGCAGGCUUGAGUGUAGUUGAGGUAGGCGGAAUGCGUGGUGUAGCGGUGAAAUGCUUAGAUAUCACGAAGAACUCCGAUUGCGAAGGCAGCUUACUAAGCUGCCACUGACAUUGAUGCUCGAAAGUGUGGGGAUCAAACAGGAUUAGAUACCCUUGUAGUC